This 430-nucleotide unclassified non-coding RNA is filed under the name Prevotella melaninogenica. Its description in RNAcentral is "partial 16S-23S ribosomal RNA intergenic spacer". The record is from RNAcentral. Lineage: Bacteria; Pseudomonadati; Bacteroidota; Bacteroidia; Bacteroidales; Prevotellaceae.
GGAGAGGAUGCUUAUUAGUUGAUUUAUUUGAUAAGUAUCUAAGUAUACAUGUCAAGAAGUUAACGGUAAUCAAGGAAAUAAAAGAACCUUUGGUUCGUUUAUCUUCUUGUACUCACUGCACUCUGUAUUAUAUAAAUGUAGGAGUUUAGAGUUUAAGGCUCACAUAAAGGUUCAAGUCCUUAUCCUCCACCACGCUGUUCUAUGCUUCUGAGGCACAGCCUCAGAACACAGAGGGUAACAGCACAAGAUCUUUGACAUAUUGACACAAGCAAGACUGUAAUGUAGAACUAUUCUUUCUAUAAUGGGAAGAAUUAGAAUUCUAAUUAUUGAAGAAAAAACUUCAAAUUCUUUAGAAUCACACAACAGCUGAAAGUAUGAGCUACAUUCUUUGUAAGCAAUUACAAAGAAGGCGAAGAAAGUAAGAAAGGGC